Molecule: ribosomal RNA, 484 nt
Filed under: uncultured bacterium
Lineage: Bacteria
Description: partial 16S ribosomal RNA
Rfam family: Bacterial small subunit ribosomal RNA
Source: RNAcentral
UGAACGCUGGCGGCAUGCCUUACACAUGCACGUCGAACGGCAGCACGGGUGCUUGCACCUGGUGGCGAGUGGCGAACGGGUGAGUAAUACAUCGGAACAUGUCCUGUAGUGGGGGAUAGCCCGGCGAAAGCCGGAUUAAUACCGCAUACGAUCUACGGAUGAAAGCGGGGGACCUUCGGGCCUCGCGCUAUAGGGUUGGCCGAUGGCUGAUUAGCUAGUUGGUGGGGUAAAGGCCUACCAAGGCGACGAUCAGUAGCUGGUCUGAGAGGACGACCAGCCACACUGGGACUGAGACACGGCCCAGACUCCUACGGGAGGCAGCAGUGGGGAAUUUUGGACAAUGGGCGAAAGCCUGAUCCAGCAAUGCCGCGUGUGUGAAGAAGGCCUUCGGGUUGUAAAGCACUUUUGUCCGGAAAGAAAUCCUUGGCCCUAAUACGGUCGGGGGAUGACGGUACCGGAAGAAUAAGCACCGGCUAACUACGUG